RNAcentral lists this ribosomal RNA (429 nucleotides) under Bacillota bacterium. Its description in RNAcentral is "Firmicutes bacterium partial 16S ribosomal RNA". It matches the Rfam family "Bacterial small subunit ribosomal RNA", at positions 355 to 776 of the family's 1533-position model. Lineage: Bacteria; Bacillati; Bacillota. The record is from RNAcentral.
UGGGGAAUCUUGCUCAAUGCGCGAAAGCGUGACGCAGCAACGCCGCGUGGGGGAAGAAGGCCUUCGGGUUGUAAACCCCUUUCAGUUGGGACGAAGCUUCGGCGGUGAAUAGCCGCCUGGAGUGACGGUACCUUCACAAGAAGCCCCGGCUAACUACGUGCCAGCAGCCGCGGUAAUACGUAGGGGGCUAGCGUUGUCCGGAAUCAUUGGGCGUAAAGAGCGUGUAGGCGGCCCGGUAAGUCCGCUGUGAAAGUCGGGGGCUCAACCCUCGAAUGCCGGUAGAUACUGUCGGGCUAGAGUGCGGAAGAGGCGAGUGGAAUUCCUGGUGUAGCGGGGAAAUGCGCAGAUAUCAGGAGGAACACCAAUUGCGAAGGCAGCUCGCUGGGACGUAACUGACGCUGAGACGCGAAAGCGUGGGGAGCAAACAGG